UACGUAGGGGGCAAGCGUUGUCCGGAAUCAUUGGGCGUAAAGAGCGUGUAGGCGGCCAGGUAGGUCUGCUGUGAAAACUCGAGGCUUAACCUCGAGCUGUCGGCGGAAACCAUCUGGCUAGAGUCCGGAAGAGGAGAAUGGAAUUCCCGGUGUAGCGGUGAAAUGCGCAGAUAUCAGGAAGAACACCGAUGGCGAAGGCAGCUCUCUGGGACGGUACUGACGCUGAGACGCGAAAGCGUGGGGAGCGAACAGG
Molecule: ribosomal RNA, 253 nt
Filed under: uncultured bacterium
Lineage: Bacteria
Description: partial 16S ribosomal RNA
Rfam family: Bacterial small subunit ribosomal RNA
Source: RNAcentral